ACCACAGCGGGUGUAUGGAAGUUGGCAGCCCACGAUCAGAAAAGUCACGGAAAGUGUGCCGUUGAGUAAUGCGAAUCUCAGCACCAGCUUCUGCAGCUUUUGAAAACAUCUUCGAUCCUCAAAAGGGAGCUGUUGAUUGUGGAUCCAAGAAAAUGGGUCCUGCACCGAGGACACUAAGAGCAGCGGUGCGCAGAUGUUUGGAAGUCCCCCCGUGAGGGUCUUUGCUUGUGCAGGGAACGGAAGACCUGCCCUUCACUUCCUCAGCCUCCCAGGGACAGGAUAUGCCGCCAUCUUAAACCCUCGGCCUGUGCCUGGAGGAGGUGAGCUUCAGGGACGUCAUCGGUAAAAUGUGACUAUCUGACGGGGUUCCCAAGUCUGAGCAGAUAAAGGCUAGAGCAGGACUGGAAGCUCAGAUUUGCCCAUGGACCCCCUCUAGUCUCCAGAGGACGUGGACAAUCCCUCAUGGAAGGGCCACAGCUGGCUAGGAGCACCUGCGUAUCAUGGGCAAGUCCCUGGGUAAGAAUGCAAAGCCUCAGAGCCUUGCUACUUGAGCCUCCCCUUCCCUGGAGAGACCUCCUCCACUCCAGUUCAGCGUGAAGCUCCUCCCGCAGCGGCUGGACCCCCGUGCAGUGGGCAGAAGUGGCGGCAGGGCUCACUGGACAGGGAGCAAUCCGUUGGCCUAGCCUGUGGCACUUGACCAUGCUCUGGGCUGCUGUGCUGGUCACCCUAGAGUGACAGCCCCACUCACUGACCCUGGGCCUUGCAUCACCCUGGCCAUUGUCCCAGCACCCCUGGGGGAGGAAGGCCAUGGGGCGGGGGGGACUCAGAUCCUUUGCACAGUGGUGGAAGCGGCCCUUGGAGAGGACAAAUGCUUUCCAGAAAGACAUAAAGGCAUAACUAGUGGGAGGCAAGGCUGGGACGAGAGCCCUGGGUGUCUGAAUCCUGUUGGGCUUUGUUCUGCUCUGUUCUUCCUAUCACGACUCCUUCACGCUGGCUCUCAGAGCUCUGUGUCCUUGGUGGCCCUCCUGGCCCUACCCAACUUGCCUGUCCCCACAGUACCCCUGCUCUCGUAUACCCCUCUCUCCUUUGGUGGAUUUCAUCUUCACAGCAUGGCUGAAAGAAAUGUAAUUUGACCAAAAUAAUUCUCUCUAAAGGCUCAGUGACUAAUACUUGCCAGUUCAAGAGGUUUUGAAAGACAGGGUUGGAUUACUCUAAUCAUAUCCCAUUAUGGUGAAUUUCAGGCUCUUAAUAACACCAGAUCCUAAGGCAAGGGGCAGAGAGAGAGACCCCGCGUGGUUUCUAAUUGGCCGAUGAUGUCGGGCCAGCUCCUUGAGCUGAGCCUCAGCCUCCUCACAUAAGAAGCAAGGUCAUUCAACCCUUCACUUCUGGAGACCCUUCCAACUCGAGGUUUCUGAGCCCCUCAAAAUAAAGGGAAAGUCUUCAAAUGCUGAAGGGGAGGUUCUGUUGCUCCGUCUCCAUAUCCUGAUCUUCGGGAGAGGAUGAGGCUGGUGUGGCAUGCAUGGCCAGCCUCCUGGGACACCCUGUGGCACCUCUGUGUGUGGGUAGCUCUGGGCAAACAGCUAGAUAUGCCACCUUCCUUGCAAGUUCCUAGGAAUGCCUGCCUUUCCUCCUUCCACUGGGGAAUCUCCCACUUCCAUCUAACCCAGGUCUGAAGGGUUUUUACUGCAGGAUCCUGAGUGCUCCUCUCCAAUUCCUCCCACCUGGAAACAGCCUGCUCGAUGCCCGUCCCAGCCAGGGAGCGGAACUCAGUAUGUCUAGGUGUCUUCAGUUCCUGCAGCCACAGUCGGAAGCUGAGACAAGGAAGUCAGGCUGCAGUAGAGGUAACACUUUCCUUCUGGUGUUUUCUCAACCAAGUGUCAAUGAAAGAGUGAUUUCCACUGUGCUCCACCUGGAGCCACUCCUGAGCGUCUUCCUUACCCACCGUCUCUCACCCCCACUCAACCUCAGCACGGCUUGCACAGAACGUCGGAGCCUCUGCCGACCUCUCUGAACCUCCCUCAGCCUAAUCUCCAAUUGGCAAAC
Molecule: long non-coding RNA, 2043 nt
Organism: Sciurus carolinensis (gray squirrel)
Lineage: Eukaryota; Metazoa; Chordata; Mammalia; Rodentia; Sciuridae
Exons: 3
Source: RefSeq, a predicted model, not a curated record